AUGAACGCUGGCGGCGUGCCUAAUACCUGCAAGUCGAGCGAACAGAUGAGGAGCUUGCUCCUCUGACGUUAGCGGCGGACGGGUGAGUAACACGUGGAUAACCUACCUAUAAGACUGGGAUAACUUCGGGAAACCGGAGCUAAUACCGGAUAAUAUAUUGAACCGCAUGGUUCAAUAGUGAAAGACGGUUUUGCUGUCACUUAUAGAUGGAUCCGCGCCGCAUUAGCUAGUUGGUAAGGUAACGGCUUACCAAGGCAACGAUGCGUAGCCGACCUGAGAGGGUGAUCGGCCACACUGGAACUGAGACACGGUCCAGACUCCUACGGGAGGCAGCAGUAGGGAAUCUUCCGCAAUGGGCGAAAGCCUGACGGAGCAACGCCGCGUGAGUGAUGAAGGUCUUCGGAUCGUAAAACUCUGUUACUAGGGAAGAACAAAUGUGUAAGUAACUAUGCACGUCUUGACGGUACCUAAUCAGAAAGCCACGGCUAACUACGUG
Molecule: ribosomal RNA, 496 nt
Filed under: uncultured bacterium
Lineage: Bacteria
Description: partial 16S ribosomal RNA
Rfam family: Bacterial small subunit ribosomal RNA
Source: RNAcentral